Molecule: long non-coding RNA, 1447 nt
Organism: Cyprinus carpio carpio
Lineage: Eukaryota; Metazoa; Chordata; Actinopteri; Cypriniformes; Cyprinidae
Source: Ensembl
UCAUCAAAAGCUGUGUGCCGUUUUUAUUGUAGUAUUCUAAAUUUACAUUAAAAAAAGAAAGUCUGCCCAUGUCCUAGAUCCAUUAUGAAAGUUAACGCACAAAUUCCAUAUACAUCUCAUUGUAUUUUACAUAGAGGAUAAGAGUAUAGGCAUGGAGGUGGCAUGAUCAAUCACAAAGCUUAAAAGAACCAAAAGAGAUUAAAAAACAAAUCAAAAAACAACCCUGAAUAAAUAGAAGGUGCUGUCUGUUAGCAGAGAGUAUGUAAGCAUGUCACUCUUGAGAAGUUUAACACAAAGGCCGAAACGUGGCAUAUCUCACACCCUCCUUUUACCAAUGAAGAGAGAGGGGUUUCCAAGCAUACGAAAGCAGAAAUGUGAGGAGCAGAGUGAGAUGACAAUGGAGAGCCUAACUUGUCUGUACAGGUGCAUAAGUUAGAGAGUACAUCUGGUGGUUACACAGACACUAAGACAUCGACGUCUAGUUAAAAUGGUAUAAAGCAGGUUAUCUUUUGUCGAUACCUGUAUAUUCUUUUUCUCGUAGGCAACAAGACAUUUUUAAGGUGUUAACUUGCCUCGGCCAAUUAGGGCAGACCAUUUGAACGUCCAAUAGAGUGCAACAGUGCGGUUUUGAAAGUAAAAAUCCCAUUUACUUACUCCAUACAGCAACCGGGUUUUUAACAUGAAAACCUCUGAAAAAGCAAAGUUUCAAUGUCAUUUAAAAAAAAAAAAAAAAAGGAAUUUACGGUGAAAAACUACACUACCCAUAAUUCUGAAGAGAGCUCAACCAAUCAGAGACUUUGCUGCUAUCAUGGAAACAAAAAUCGCAGCAAGAGUUCAGUAAUGACUACCCACUCCCAUUAAGCACUGCAAAUUACAAACAAGUAACAAGUUCACAUCAAAAUGAGUAUUUGUUGGGACAAAUUGGUGCAAUAAAAUGUUAAAUUUUAAAUCAACAGCUGUUAAAUCUGUCUGUUCAGACCAACAUGAACCUUCGUACACAAUGUGACAAUUUAUUUAAUUUUACAGAAGGGUGUUCUAUUCUUUUUCCAUUACACUGCGAAGAAAACUGGCCAACCAAUAAAAUUCUCACAUGUGAUAACAUGUCCAAAGCCACUACUGUUACAGUUCAAAUUAGCAUUUUUAUUCAGCCUGUCGUCCAUUUUUAUGCAUUGGUCUAAACAGACAAAUUCAUAUGCAAAAAUCGAACCAAAUUUGUGGCAAAUUCUUGGUAACAGUAUUUAAAUCUCCACAAACUUUCAAACUACGUUAAAUUACAGUAGUCAACAUUUGAUGUGGAUCAAAACCUUUCAUCAAAGUUGUCCUAAAAUCUAAAAGCGUUCUUGUCUGAAAGGGUUAGUUCACCCAAAAAUGAAAAUUAUGUCAUUAAUCACUUACCCCCAUGUCGUUCCAAACCCGUAAAAGCUCUGUUCGUCUUUGGAAAACAAGU